UACGUAGGUGGCAAGCGUUGUCCGGAAUUAUUGGGCGUAAAGCGCGCGCAGGCGGUCCUUUAAGUCUGAUGUGAAAGCCCACGGCUCAACCGUGGAGGGUCAUUGGAAACUGGGGGACUUGAGUGCAGAAGAGGAAAGUGGAAUUCCACGUGUAGCGGUGAAAUGCGUAGAGAUGUGGAGGAACACCAGUGGCGAAGGCGGCUUUCUGGUCUGUAACUGACGCUGAGGCGCGAAAGCGUGGGGAGCAAACAGG
Molecule: ribosomal RNA, 253 nt
Filed under: uncultured bacterium
Lineage: Bacteria
Description: partial 16S ribosomal RNA
Rfam family: Bacterial small subunit ribosomal RNA
Source: RNAcentral